Molecule: non-coding RNA, 73 nt
Organism: Bos taurus (domestic cattle)
Lineage: Eukaryota; Metazoa; Chordata; Mammalia; Artiodactyla; Bovidae
Source: Rfam
UCCCUGGUGGCUCAGCUGGUAAAGGAUCCGCCUGCAAUGUGGGAGACCCUGGUUCUAUCCCUGGGUCAGGGAA